This 482-nucleotide ribosomal RNA is filed under the name uncultured bacterium. RNAcentral describes it as "partial 16S ribosomal RNA". It matches the Rfam family "Bacterial small subunit ribosomal RNA", at positions 29 to 507 of the family's 1533-position model. The record is from RNAcentral.
AUUGAACGCUGGCGGCAUGCCUUACACAUGCAAGUCGAACGGUAACGGGCCUUCGGGUGCCGACGAGUGGCGAACGGGUGAGUAAUACAUCGGAACGUGCCCGAUCGUGGGGGAUAACGAGGCGAAAGCUUUGCUAAUACCGCAUACGAUCUACGGAUGAAAGCAGGGGACCGCAAGGCCUUGCGCGGACGGAGCGGCCGAUGGCAGAUUAGGUAGUUGGUGGGAUAACAGCUUACCAAGCCGACGAUCUGUAGCUGGUCUGAGAGGAUGAUCAGCCACACUGGGACGGAGACACGGCCCAGACUCCUGCGGGAGGCAGCAGGGGGGAAUUUUGGACAAUGGGCGAAAGCCUGACCGAGCAAUGCCGCGGGAGGGAUGAGGGCCUUCGGUUUGAAAACUGUUUUUAUAGGGAAAGAAAAAUUUUUUUUAAAACCAGGGGGGUCAUGACGGUACCGAAAAAAAAAGCCCCGGCUAACUACGUG